UCUGCGAAUGAGCCCCAGCAUCCCCAGAAGGGACCAGCAGCCGGGGUUCCACACUCGCCUGGGGCGCAAGAAGCCACUUGGCAUCAGCAGGGGGCUGCCACUUGUGAGCGUGCAGUGAGUGAAGAUGUGGAGAAUGGAUUCUGCACCAGGGAUGGCAGUGUGAGGGAGGCCCUGGAUCCCCAGGGCACAUCAACAACCAGCAAUGAACACAAAAGGGACCUCAGAAGAUUGCUGGGUGAAUGGAUCAGGAGCCAUCCCGUGGGCACGGCGGUGCUGAUUCUGCUGCUCCUGGUGCUGCUGCUGGCUUUGGGGGUGGCCUUGGCUGUGCUGGCAGCAGCAGCAGCAGCAGCACAUGUUCCAGUCACACCUGCGAAUUUGCAUUGCUGUCCUUUUGACUGGGUUGGCUACAAGGGGAUCUGCUA
Onychostruthus taczanowskii (white-rumped snowfinch) is the source of this 422-nucleotide long non-coding RNA. RefSeq lists it as uncharacterized. NCBI's taxonomy places the organism in Eukaryota, Metazoa, Chordata, Aves, Passeriformes, Passeridae. The record is from RefSeq and is a predicted model, not a curated record. The transcript is spliced from 3 exons.